AGCGAACGCUGGCGGUAGGCCUAACACAUGCAAGUCGAACGAACUCUUCGGAGUUAGCGGCGGACGGGUGAGUAACACGUGAGAACGUGUCUUUUGGUUCGGGAUAACUAAGGGAAACUUGUGCUAAUACCGAAUGUGCCCUUCGGGGGAAGAAUUAAUCGCGAUUAGAGCGGUCCUCGUCUGAUUAGUUAGUUGGUGAGGUAACGCUCCACAAAGGCGACGACCAGUAGUUGGUCUGUGAGGAUGACCAGCAAACCUGGGACUAAGCACCGCCCCAGACUCCGGCAGGAAGCAGCAGUGAGGAAUCUGGCGCAAGGGGCAAAAUCCUGACGCAGUCAUGCCGCGGGGAUGAAGAAGCUCUUAGGAUUAUAAUAUUCUUUCACCGGGGACGAUAAUGACGGUACCCGGAGAAGAAGCCCCGGCUAACUUCGUG
This 433-nucleotide ribosomal RNA is filed under the name uncultured bacterium. RNAcentral's name for it is "partial 16S ribosomal RNA". It matches the Rfam family "Bacterial small subunit ribosomal RNA", at positions 29 to 507 of the family's 1533-position model. The record is from RNAcentral.